CCUACGGGAGGCUGCAGUGGGGAAUAUUGCACAAUGGGGGAAACCCUGAUGCAGCGACGCCGCGUGAGUGAAGAAGUAUUUCGGUAUGUAAAGCUCUAUCAGCAGGGAAGAAACCCACCCUCCGGGGUGGCUGACGGUACCUGACUAAGAAGCCCCGGCUAACUACGUGCCAGCAGCCGCGGUAAUACGUAGGGGGCAAGCGUUAUCCGGAUUUACUGGGUGGAAAGGGAGCGUAGGUGGGCAGGCAAGUCAGAUGUGAAAACCCGGGGCCCAACCCCGGGAGUGCAUUUGAAACUGUCUGGCUAGAGUGCAGGAGAGGUAAGUGGAAUUCCUAGUGUAGCGGUGGAAUGCGUAGAGAUUAGGAAGAACACCAGUGGCGAAGGCGAUAUGCUGGACUAUAACUGACACUGAGGCGCGAAAGCGUGGGGAGCAAACAGGAUUAGAUACCCGAGUAGUC
This 457-nucleotide ribosomal RNA is filed under the name uncultured bacterium. RNAcentral describes it as "partial 16S ribosomal RNA". It matches the Rfam family "Bacterial small subunit ribosomal RNA", at positions 338 to 795 of the family's 1533-position model. The record is from RNAcentral.